GAUUUCUGGCUUGUAACCUGUCGCCGGCCACGGUUUCGUGUGUCAGUGCGGCUGGUUCUGGCCAUCCUUCUCGUCGCGUCUGUCUAUUCUUCACUGAGUGGACAGCGGGGCGGGAUCGUUUACUUUGAAAAAAUUAGAGUGUUUCAAGCAGGCUGUAUGCUAUGAAUACAUUAGCAUGGAAUAAUAAUUUAGGACUUCGGUUCUAUUUUGUUGGUUUCUAGGACUGAAGUAAUGAUUGAUAGGGAUAGUUGGGGGUGCUAGUAUUCAGCGGCCAGAGGUGAAAUUCUCGGAUUCGCUGAAGACUAACUUAUGCGAAAGCAUU
This 322-nucleotide ribosomal RNA is filed under the name Cercozoa sp. RNAcentral describes it as "SSU rRNA". The stretch from base 111 to 322 matches the Rfam family "Eukaryotic small subunit ribosomal RNA", at positions 743 to 955 of the family's 1831-position model. Lineage: Eukaryota; Cercozoa. The record is from RNAcentral.